Small nuclear RNA from Nomascus leucogenys (northern white-cheeked gibbon), 112 nucleotides. It matches the Rfam family "U2 spliceosomal RNA". Rfam says of the family: U2 is a small nuclear RNA (snRNA) component of the spliceosome (involved in pre-mRNA splicing). Complementary binding between U2 snRNA (in an area lying towards the 5' end but 3' to hairpin I) and the branchpoint sequence (BPS) of the intron results the bulging out of an unpaired adenosine, on the BPS, which initiates a nucleophilic attack at the intronic 5' splice site, thus starting the first of two transesterification reactions that mediate splicing. Lineage: Eukaryota; Metazoa; Chordata; Mammalia; Primates; Hylobatidae. The record is from Rfam.
AUUGCUUCUUGGCUUCUUGGCUAAGAUGAAGUGUAGUAUUUGCUUUUAGUAGUUGUCUACUAUGGUCUGAAUCUGUCCCCUCUUCCUCCCAAAUUUGAAAUCCUAACCCCUU